UACGUAGGGGGCAAGCGUUGUCCGGAAUUAUUGGGCGUAAAGCGCGUGUAGGCGGCUUGGUCAGUCUGAUGUGAAAUCUUGGGGCUUAACCCUAAAACUGCAUUGGAUACUGCCUGGCUAGAGUCCGGGAGGGGAGAGCGGAAUUCCCAGUGUAGCGGUGAAAUGCGCAGAUAUUGGGAAGAACACCGGUGGCGAAGGCGGCUCUCUGGAACGGUACUGACGCUGAGACGCGAAAGCGUGGGGAGCGAAC
RNAcentral lists this ribosomal RNA (250 nucleotides) under uncultured bacterium. Its description in RNAcentral is "partial 16S ribosomal RNA". It matches the Rfam family "Bacterial small subunit ribosomal RNA", at positions 524 to 773 of the family's 1533-position model. The record is from RNAcentral.